UAAAAGGGCAACGGCUUCGGCGUGACCUGGACUCGGCCGCCGCUUUCAUCACCGCUGGGGCCGGCGCGGCUCUGCUGGCUGGGAGGCGGGCCCGGCCGGGUUCCUGCCGCGCUCCAGGGGGCGUCGCCUCUCUUCCUGCCGCCCGCCCGCGGGCCCGAGCCUCUGCGGCUGCGUGGCAGGACCGGCACCCGGCCCACUGUUCCAGACAGCCGAGCGCCCCGGGCCAGGGCCCGCCCCACCCGCCCCGAGCGCCCACGCCGGGGAGUGCCCGAGGGCGGCGCGGCUCCACCUCGGCGCUUUUCGAGGGCCAGACGCUAGCCGCUUCUUGAUUUCCUCAUCUGGGAAACGGGAAUAACGCUCUCUGGUCUGCAAAAUGGGUCUUCAGUGGUUGCGGGGGCCCCCUCGCGGUAAAGUUCUGAGCGAGUGAAGGCUCUCUCUCAGCUCCAAACGGCUGUGUACAUCCGUAGAAUUGUGCUCUUGACCGGACUGUGACUGUCAACACUCAUCGCAGUUGCAGGCCAGGUAUCCGGAUCCGUAGGGCGUGAAAAUUACUACUCCCAGCCCCAGAAUGCCCCCUGCCGAUCUCGCCCGGUAGCCCUAUCUGGUGCCCUCGGCAGGACACCAAGUGCCUCAGGGCUCUCGACUGCGCUGCUCCCUCUGCCUGGAAGAGUUUCCAGCUCCUUCUUGGAGCCAAAUCCCACUGACCUCGAUGAAAUGCCACCUUCUCCAAGAGGCCUUCCUAGACCCUUCCUCUACUCUCCACGCCGGACACUCUGUGAUUAUUGGGGCGGGGGCUCACGCGGUGCCCGGACACAGUGGGCGCUCAAUCCCUGCGGGCCAAACUUCUGACCGUGGGAGUCCACAGACACCAACUGGACGAUUGUAAACACCCGUUUCAUUUGGGGUGUACAGAGACACCAGCUGGCCGGGAGCCGCGUUUCCGCGCGGAUUCUUCACGAGGGAAACUCCCGUGUUCUGCGCCGUGAGAUAAGGACAUUGAGCUCCGAGAAGCGAAGCGACCAGACCCAGCCUUCCGGCGAGGGUAGAGGUGGGAUCCUGGCCACCGAGCGGAGACCCCUCCCCUUCGGCUGAGCCCCAGGGCGGGAUGUCAGCUUUCGUCUCCGGAUCCCGGCUUGCACUGACCCCAAAAGGAAAUGUGUGGUGGAGGACUGAGUGACCCCCUGGCCUGAGCAGGGCGGCUCGCCUUCCUGUCCUUUCGUUUCUCCCUCUCUGAAGGCUGGAAGCUGGCCGGCUGAACUCUUGAGAGUCAGAGUGGCUGAAGAAAGGGGAGGAAUCAGAUCAUAGGCGCUGUGGGUCCAGAAACACCAGGACUCAGCUGGGUUUCUCUCUGGCAGCUGUGGGCAAGUGACCUCUCUAUUCAGCACCUCGGCUUCUUCAACUGCCAAAUGGGGUUGGUAAGAGCCCAACCCAGGCAAGUGAAGUAGGGGGUCCGUGUAGAAAGGCAGGGUGCCCACCGCAGGUCCUUCCCACCUGAGGGGCUGAGGAAACAUCCCCUCCUUCCCCCUAGGAAGACCAAAGCUACUAUGGGGGCGGAGGGAAGCCCUUUGUAGGGACCUCCCUGCCCAGAAAUGACUGACCUUGGCCUGACCUCAUUGCUAACACCUUGCUCAGGCCCAGGGUAGCCCUGUAGCUGACCCUUUGGUUUCCUCCCCUUCCUGCUUUCCUUGCCCCCAAGUUGUCAAUGCCAGGCAUAAGUAUGCAGGUGACCAGCUUGCUCAUUUUUCUGGAGCACCCCCCCCCCCCCCCCCCCCGCUCCAUAAGAUCCAAGAACACCCCACCCCCCAAGGUCGCACACACCUGUCCUCACUCCUGGCAAGUUCAUUCUUCCUUGGCUGCCCCCCCCCCCAUUCAACUUUAUAAAUCCUGUCCAGGAGUUACCUUCUCUGGCCCUUGCCUCUCCUUUUUGUCUUUUGCAGGUGUGCCUGACACGCACUUCGUGUCCCCCCCCCCCCCCCCCCCCCACUGUAGAGUGGUUUGUUAUCAUCUACCUAGCUGUCUCCCCCUACUGGAGUGUGAACUCUUGGAGGGCUGACAUCUUUAAUUCGGGACUUCGCUUCCCUCCCCCAUGUCUAGCGCAGGGAUGACACCCAAUUAAUACCUAGUGAAUUGAUUGGAGAGUGUGUGCAGAGGUAUAGCUGGGGACACUUCCAGGACGCUGGGCAGGAGUAUGGAAGACGCCUUUCUCCAUUAUCUUGCCCCCAUCCACCCUCCUCUUCCGCUAGCCCGGGUCCCAUCUUCUCCAGGACCAAGCCCAGAGAGGGACUCAGCGGCCUUCUAGCUCAGGUACCCUCUCCCACCGUUUCUCUGAUUGGGCCAGACCUGUCCCAUCCCGUCACUCCUUAAGGGCCCCACUCGCAUCGUUGCCCUUUUAAGAAAGAGGAAAUUCUUCUCAUAAACAAGCGCCUCAACCUGAGCGCGGAGCUUGCCCCGCCGGAUCCCUGGGCAAUCGAGGGUGCUUCCAGGCACAAAGCCCGCUCCAGGCUCACCCCAGGGCAAAGGCCUGGGGGCCCCUUCUGGUCACCCCUCUCCGCAGCUCCAGGGCAGUGGUCAGAGGGACCCGACGAGGCCGGAGGAGGGACUUGGGGGAGCCUAGAAACAGCCCAGGGAGCGUCUGUAAAGUGCAACCCUUGCACCGGGCGAAGGGGUGCCGGGCGGCUCCCAGCGGCCAAGGGGGUUCCCCGCCCACACAGCUCCCCUCCACCUCCGCCUCCCCCCACCUUCCGAAGCCCCGGGGCGCGAAGUCGGAGCGCUUGCCUCCAGCUCUUGGGCCGGGAGGGAGUGAGGGCGCUCGGGACCGUCCCUGCCCCUAGGGGGAGCUGGGAGUCAGCACCCAGGGAGCGUUAAGUGCGCGGCGUGGGAGUCCCGGCCGCCCAGUCCCCUGGGGAAAUGGCAAAUGAAUUGGGCCUCGGAGGCACGACUCUUGGGUUCCAUGACCUGGCGCCUGAAGAGAAGUCUGCGCCUUGGUUUUACGGCCUGGAAAGUGGGUUAGUUUGAAGCUACUCUAGGAACUGACAUUCGAAUGGGGUGGGGGGCGGGGAGGACUCUUCUACUGGUCCAAGGAUUUUGUCCUUUCCCUGUUUCUACUUUCCUGUGCCUUUGGAUGAGAAGUAGACUAGCAUUUAUUGAGCAUUCAUCAAGCUAAUCAGACCAUCGUAAGUGCCAGUUUGAUGCGUGUGUCCCGUCCCCAAAUGGGUCCGUUUGUCAGGUCACUCCUAUAGGCCCACAAUAAAUAUUUUUGGAGUUACUAUUAUUUUUAAGUCCCACGUGCCAGGCAUUGUGUUAAAGUGCUUUACAUCCAUCACACGGUUGGCGUUGUCCUCAUUCUACAGAUGAGAACACAGACUGGAGAUUAAUCACUUGUCCAAGCUGGGAAACAGCAAGUCUCUAUGGAAGCCUGGUUAGCCUGCCUCCAAAACUCCCACUCCAUCUUGUUGCCUCCACACACACACACACCCCGGGGCAGGCCAGUCUGCCCCACUCAUUCCACGCCCAAG
Molecule: long non-coding RNA, 3515 nt
Organism: Lynx canadensis (Canada lynx)
Lineage: Eukaryota; Metazoa; Chordata; Mammalia; Carnivora; Felidae
Exons: 3
Source: RefSeq, a predicted model, not a curated record